Molecule: long non-coding RNA, 1471 nt
Organism: Acipenser ruthenus (sterlet)
Lineage: Eukaryota; Metazoa; Chordata; Actinopteri; Acipenseriformes; Acipenseridae
Exons: 2
Source: RefSeq, a predicted model, not a curated record
CUACUUCAAACCCUUUCAUACCCCACAGCCCUCAAGUGCACGGUUUCAGAUUUGAAAGCGGCUGCGUUUUAAACACAUUCAUUUUUGGGCAUCGUUCUGGAACAAGGACCUGACCAAAGGUAGUGCCCCCCUGUUCAGACUGCGCUUGUAGAUCUCCUGAUCCGCCCCUCCUGCUCUGCACUGGACUCGCCUGACCUCAGCACCAUGUUACUGGAUCCUCAACUGAUGUGCUAUCCUUGCACUGCUAACAUGUCACUGUAGAUAUAACUUGCUGUAACCCUAACUUGUUGCAUCCUAGUUCAUAUUGUAUUCUAGUAGUGUUAUUAGUUGCACUGACUGUAAACUACACCUGUAUUUAAAUAUGAAGCUUGCAUUGUAACCCUGUGCUGCCCUGUAACACCUGCGUGAGUCGCCUGGGAUAAAGGCGUCUGCCAAGUAAAUAAUAAUAUUAAUUCCAGACGGUUGGCAUGGUGAUGCGUCAGAGGGGCCACGUUUUGAUUGAUCCCUGAAGCCAGCAUUACACUUCAGCCAAGGCUCGCAUUAUAACACAGCAAAGCUAGUCCUUGGUUGGUCUCCACCAUGCCUCUCUCACAAUAUUAGCAUGCAAAGAACAGUCGCUCUCUUGCAAGGAAAGUCAUCAUGACCUGCUUUUAUAAGCCAGCUCUCACAGAAUCAGUUCAUUCUAAAAGGGGAUGCAAAACAUUUCGCCAGAGCUGUAUUAUCCCAUUUUAUCUGAGUCCAAUAUGAAGUGAACUACUCUCCUGUUAUAAAAAUCAUACAAGCCAUCUCUCACCCACUAAGGCUGUAGGCAGGCAGACGAAGCCACUGAAACAACUUGACCUGACAGGGAACAAAGCCAGUCAGAACAACAAUGAAUUGAUUCAUCCCAGAUACAGGGAGCCCUGGAGACCGGAAAUGACACUGAGAGUGAUUCAUGAAAUCUGCUUUGCUGUAAUCCUAACUUGCUGUAUCCUCUUAGUUCAUAUUGUAUUUUAGCAGGAGGCUGUGUGGUCCAGCGCUUAAAGGAUCUUGAUACCAGGAGGUUCAAAUCCCGGCUCAGCCACUGACUCCCUGUGUGUGACCCUGAGCAAGUCACUGAACCUCCUUGUGCUCCGUCCUUCGGAUGAGACGCAAAACAAACGAGGUCCUAUUGGAAGUGACUCUGCAGCAGCAGCAGUUGUUGAUGAUGCAUAGUUCACCCCCUAGUCUCUGUAAGUCGCUUUGGAUAAAAGCCUCUGCUAAUUGACUAAAUAAUAAUAAUAAUAAUAUUGCACUUAUUGUAAACUACACUGUAUUUAAAUAUGAAGCUUGCAUUGUAACCCUGUGCUGCCCUGUAACACCUGUGUGAGUCGCCUGGGAUAAAGGCGUCUGCCAAAUAAAUUAAUAAAUAAAUACUAAUAAUAUUAAUAGAGAGUUAAACCUCCCUCAGUAAAAACGCCAUUUGACCCCUAAUAAAAGUUUAUUUUUUGAA